Molecule: ribosomal RNA, 254 nt
Filed under: uncultured bacterium
Lineage: Bacteria
Also listed under: 1 other name
Description: partial 16S ribosomal RNA
Rfam family: Bacterial small subunit ribosomal RNA
Source: RNAcentral
UACGUAGGGAGCAAGCGUUGUCCGGAUUUAUUGGGCGUAAAGAGCUCGUAGGCGGCUUAGCAAGUCGGGUGUGAAAACUCCAGGCUCAACCUGGAGACGCCACUCGAUACUGCUAUGGCUUGAGUUCGGUAGGGGACCAUGGAAUUCCUGGUGUAGCGGUGAAAUGCGCAGAUAUCAGGAGGAACACCGAUGGCGAAGGCAGUGGUCUGGGCCGAUACUGACGCUGAGGAGCGAAAGCGUGGGGAGCGAACAGG